Molecule: unclassified non-coding RNA, 608 nt
Filed under: Hevea brasiliensis (rubber tree)
Lineage: Eukaryota; Viridiplantae; Streptophyta; Magnoliopsida; Malpighiales; Euphorbiaceae
Source: RNAcentral
GGAAGAUAGAUAUUUGAGAGCAUCAUUUGGGACUGCAAAAUACUGCCAUGCGUGGUUGAGAAACACGCCUUGCAGUAAUCCGUCUUGUCUAUAUUUGCAUAGCAUUGGUGCUGAUGAAGAUAGCUUUGGCAAAGAUGACGUAGCUGCGAUUCAUACAAGGAAUAGAGUUCAACAAAUAGCUGGUGACGCCAGUAAUAUGAUGAAUCGUUCAGGAAAUGUCUUGCCACCUCCAAUUGAUGAAUUAUCUAGCACUGGCUUUACAUUGACUGAGACAUCUAGCAUUAGAAAUGCUGCAAGUGAUGCAUCAAAUGAUACAGUGAAUUACAGUAGCUACAUGGCUCAUGUAGUUCCUCAUGAUAAGGAUGGAGACGCUGGUGGACCAAACAGAAUGACAACGUUUGUUGAUAUUGUUGGACGGUACAAUACUUCUGGUGCAGAGAGCGAUGGAAAUAGCACGGAAGAUUGUAGGAUUUUGAAUUUAUCUUCUGACCUAUCUUCAGUAACCAUUAGUAAAGAUAAUCAUAGACAUGAAAAAUAUCCUGAUAAAACUUUGUUCAAGGUUCCAUCUUCAAAUCACAUUGUCAAUCAUCCGCGAGGCAACCUAAAUU